AUCUAAUUAUAUGAUUCCAGUGACUUGCGCCUUAUGGUUUUAACUUUUGUACAUCAUAUUUGAAUCCAUUUGAUCUUCUUUUAAUUGGACUCAGGGAUACACCAUUGGAAACCCAAUAACAAAUCACUUUAGUGACUUCAAUUCAAGAAUUGCAUACACUCAUCAAGUAGGAAUUCUAUCAUAUGAGCUUUAUGAGGCCACUAUCUAAAAGCUAAGGUUGAUGGAGGAUUUGGCAGGGACAUGCUGGAGUUUUUGUUGAAAGGACAUGUGGUUGCUUAUAGAACCAUGGUUACAAGAGUUUCUUGAAAUAGCCUGAAGAUUAUUUGAUUGAUAGAGUUGUCGACUUGUGAUGCAGUUGCGUUUGCUGAAAGAUUAUCUAAAUGGCAGUGUCGAUAUGAUUAUGGUUUGCUGAUGUUUA
Vitis riparia (riverbank grape) is the source of this 418-nucleotide long non-coding RNA. RefSeq lists it as uncharacterized. The record is from RefSeq and is a predicted model, not a curated record. The transcript has 2 exons. Lineage: Eukaryota; Viridiplantae; Streptophyta; Magnoliopsida; Vitales; Vitaceae.